GCCAGACUCGCUUGGGCGGGGGGGAAGGGGAGGAGGAGCGAGCGAGCGAGCGAGCGGAGCCUGCGCAGCAGCGCCCUUGGCACGUGGUCCGCUGGGGAGGGGUCAGGUGGAGGAGCCGCCUGGGACUGCGGACAAGGAGCCGCAAAAGUUGCGGCAACUAGAGCAGGUGCGAGGCUGGACUCGGGAGGGUCCCCUCGGAUUCAGUGGGGUCGACUCGUGGCCUCCUCGCGAAGAGGAAGCAGAGAGAAUAACAGAAUCAUCACAUUUUAGAACUGGAAAGGACCUAGAGGGUCUCCUAGUUCAACCCCUGCUCAGUUCAGAGGGAGUUUUGUCCAAAGCCACUUAAUUACAUCGGAGAAGAGAUUCAAAGACUGCCUUGGGCCUUGUAAGAUUCAGAAUCAGCUGAAAACAAAGAGGCUCUUGUGCAUCCUUCCAUCUUCAGCUGAGAGGUAUUUGAGAUCCUUCUCCAUGGUAGACCCCAAGAUGCUCUGCAAGAUCCAUGCUACCCAACCUGCCCACUUUCCGAUAGUCAGUGAAGACCUGGUUCUUUCAGCAGGCUUUUAAUGAAGUUAUGCUUUUGUCUGUAUCUGCUGGUCUCUGUGCAUUUAAGACAUUUGUUGCUGCUUCUGAUUUUUAUUUUGCUGUAAUUUGUACAAUGUUUGUCUGACUUUGUUUAACCUUUGCUGUGAGCUGCCUUGAGCUUUUGCAGACCAGAAAAGCAGGAAAUACAUGUUUUUAAAUAAAUAGUUUUAUUGUG
This is a long non-coding RNA of Hemicordylus capensis (graceful crag lizard), 757 nucleotides long. RefSeq lists it as uncharacterized. NCBI's taxonomy places the organism in Eukaryota, Metazoa, Chordata, Lepidosauria, Squamata, Cordylidae. The record is from RefSeq and is a predicted model, not a curated record. The transcript is spliced from 3 exons.